AAAAAAAGAAAAAUGAAAGAGAACUCAAAAUUAUUGUAUUCCAGUUUUCUUUCAUUAUCUUCUUCGCCUACCAUCACCACUGGUGAACAACUAUUUCACUGCCACUCCACCACCGUGAAAAAACCUACCUCAACCACUCCUAAUCACCACUAACCUCCUUCUCCAUUUUUUUCACCGUCGUGCAAACCCAUAACCACCUUCAGUUAAAACUUUAUCCGAUUCAUAAAUAACUCACCCGAAAUCACCUUAAAAUCUCCACUAUAAAACACAACCAAACGCUCGUUGUCACCACUUCCAUACUCCCUCCUGAGACAAGCUAAACGUGACUAAAACCACCUCUGUCCAUCACUUUAUCUCCACCAUAACACUACCACUUAAGCCUCUAUCUUCCUCAUUUUUGAUCAGCAAUAAUAACAACCUCACUGUGAAUUUGUUUUAGUGGGCAUGUUUCUUCCAACAAAAAUCCAUUCCUUUGACGACAACAUCCUUUUAUCUGGUAACAUUUCUAAUCAAAUUUUCUUGUGUUCAGUUUGUAGUUGAUUUUUGUUUUGUUUUGCAUUGUUUGUUUUGAUUUCGAUUGCAUGUGUGUGUUAUGUAUGUUGUUCGAUUCUUUACUGAAUUAUGGUUGGUAAUAACACUGUAAUAGUGCUCGUGUGGUGUAGUGUUAUUGAUGCUACUUUUUCAAUGCGUUAGAGUUUUGAAUUUGGAGUUUGUUUGCACCCUGAUAUGUGUUGAGCACAUUAGUUUGCCGGUUGUAAUUCUUUUGUAAUUUUUGUAUAUAAUAUUAUAUAAUGCGUAAGUGCUGCUACUGAUUCAAUUGGGUUGUGCUGUAUUGCAUAAAAUCGAAUAUUUAUUCGUAGUUUCGACAUUGAUAAUAUGUUGUUAUAACCGCCAAUUUCUAUUUUUGAUGUUAACUUAAUUUCUACAAGUUGUCUGUGUAUGUUACUUUCAUGGCAUGACAUUUUGUCCCGAUAAAAUUUUGCACUAUAUAUGUUGCUGUCCCGUUAAAAUUCUGCUACUGCAUACAUUGCUGUUCGGCAUAAAUUAUGUUGUUAUACACUACUAUUCUGCUACUGUAUACACUGUUGUUCUGCAUAAAAUAUGUUAUUGUACACUGUUAUUCUACUACUACAUACACUGCUGUUCUGCAUAAAAUGUGUUGUUAUACACUGUUGUUCUGCUACACAAAAUCCACUAUAGUUCUGCAUAAAAUGCGUUGUGAUACAUUAUUGUUCUGCUGCAUAAAAUACACUGCUAAUCUGCAUAAAAUACGCUGUUAUAUGUUGUUGUUUAGCUUAUUUAGUUGUGGUAAAUCAGACUGAAUCCGCGAGUGUGACAUCCUUCAUAUGUUGUGGCUUUGCUGAAUUUUUAGUUUGAUAUAUUGACGCCAUUGCAUUGUGCUAACGAUACAGUUUGUUGUUUAUAAAAAUCUUGUGUUGGCUGCGUGCGAUGUGUCAUCUUUGCUUCAUGUCGUGCGACUUAAUUUCUUGACGGUUCUCUUGUUGUCGUUUAGUUUUCGAUUUUGCCGUGAUAUAACCAUGACCUUCAUCCUGCUUGCAUCUCGUUGAAAGGGAAGACGUUACACUUUGUUUAUGAUUGUGUGGUAUAAUUUUUCUAUGUUGAACAUGCAUCUGAAUGCAAUAAGGUUGCAAUGUUGUGUUCAUGAAGAAAGGUCUGCUAUUGAUUUUGUUUUGUCAUUUUUAUUUUCCCAUUUAUUAUGGUGAUUAAAUGUUAUAUAUUUCUGAGUACACUAGAAUAAUAACUAAAUGGUCAUAGUGGAGUGGUUGAUACCUCAAUCUCCAACCACCAUGACCCAAGCUCGACCCAUGUGCGCCCCCUUUCCGCCCUUUUCCAUGUUUUUUUGUUCUUUUUUCCAUUUUUACAAGACAUUGAAUAUUAUAUAUUUAUGAAGGUGAUGGUUUAUCAGCAAUAUGACCACGGGGGAAUGGUUGAAACAUCAUGUCUCUUACCCCCAUGUCUUGGGUUCAAAUCCUUAUUGCCACUUUUCCUUGUAAUUUUUCCAUUUAUCUCAUUUUUUUCAUUCUUUUUCCACCUUGUUUUUUGUUUUCUUUUGCAUUUUUUUAACUAUCCAAAUUGAUUUUCUUUCUAAUUCUUGUGAGAUAGACUUCUUAUUUGUGACAUUAUAUUUGUAGCUUAAUUUUUUUCCACUUAUUUUAUCCUGAUUACAACCAUUGCAAAUGCCCCAUGUGAAUGUUUAAAAUAAUGCGAUACUUGUUGAAUUUUUGCCUUGUUCCUUUGAAUAUUUUCGUUGCUAAACAUUGGAUUUUAAUUCGUUGAUCCGAUAUUUACCAUGUUGUUAUUCCAUUGAUUAUUUUAUCGAUACAUUGAUGGUAUUUCGCCGCGUUUUGAUCCAUCGCAUACGAUAUUUCCAUUGUUGUCAAUAUGCGCAAACCGACUUUAAACACAUUACCUAGGGUUUUGCUUGCACCUCUCAAUUUCAUUUAUUCCUUGCAUGUCAUUGCAUUAUGUGACUUUGAUUCGCAACCUCGCAUCCCAAUUUUAAUAUAUGCACACUUCAAUUUCACUUUUUUCGAUUUAAUUAUUGAACGUGUUGUACAUAUAACUUGUGUGUUGCUAUUUUUUUCACAAGGCUUACUCUUAGGCCUUCUUACAAUGAGACCAUUCUCUUGCAUUUACACUAAUUUAUUAUUGUUUGUUGAUUGAGCUUUAUUUAAUUGUUUCAUUAUCUUGUAUCUCCAUGAGACAAAAUGAACCCAAUUCCCAUGACGUGUAAUAAUUUUUACCGCUUUUAUUUUUUUGUUUGGUGGUUUGCUUAGCUAGUUCUAACACAAGAAUAAAAUGAACCCCUUUUCAAAAAGAUAAAAAGAAAAUAAAAAACUCAAUCCAACAUCGAGUAUUUUGCCAAUAAAAAACCAAUCUAUUUCAAACUCAAUCCAUUUAUAUUCAUUCCAAAUAUUGCAAGCCAUUUCAUUCAAACUCUUUCUUAAUCAAUCAUCAAAUGUUAGAUCCAACGUCAAGCCAUUUUCACAAUAAAACUAAAAAACACUUAACAAUUAUUCAACACUUUUUCAAUAAGUGAGAUGAAAGGAACGGGGUAGUCAAUGAGCUCCUGAGAGUUAGAUCCGAGAUGUAGUUCUCGUAAAUCCAAACUUUCAUCAUCCUCAAAUCAAUUCCAUAACGCUUAAUAAACCUCGACUAGCUUCGAGUUUGCUUUCUCAAGGAAACUUCAAAAAUACCUAAAAAAUGAAAACUCUUUUGCAAAUAAAAUGAAAAAGGAGCGGGGUGUAGUCCAUGAAUUCCCGAGAGUUAGGAACAUAGAUGUAGUUCUCGUCACUCCGAACUCACUCAUCAUCCAAAAAUACUUCAAGCGAAUCAAACUAUUUUCUUGCCUCCGUGCGAUUAAUACUUAAACCUUUUUUCUCAAACAAAAGGUAUCUUUUCUCAAGACGAUGCAAAAAAAUGUUUCGUUCACUUGAACAUGUGAGUAAGCUUGUGACAUUGCCCACGAAUGUUGAUUUGUAAAUCCAUUCAGCCGUGAUGCAAACCUCCCCUUCUCCACUUGUUUUGGGUAGCACCCAACAAUGUUUUCAUCGAUUGACACGAAGUAGCUUUGCUAAA
Molecule: long non-coding RNA, 3600 nt
Filed under: Lathyrus oleraceus (garden pea)
Lineage: Eukaryota; Viridiplantae; Streptophyta; Magnoliopsida; Fabales; Fabaceae
Description: Pisum sativum (pea) long non-coding RNA (PSAT_LNC016619)
Source: RNAcentral